CUACGGGACGCUCCAGUGAGGAAUAUUGGACAAUGGAGGCAACUCUGAUCCAGCCAUGCCGCGAGCAGGAAGACGGCCCUAUGGGUUGUAAACUGCUUUUAUACAGGAAGAAUGGUACCUACGUGUAGGUAUUUGACGGUACUGUACGAAUAAGGAUCGGCUAACUCCGGCCAGCAGCCGCGGUAAUACGGAGGAUCUAAGCGUUAUCCGGAAUCAUUGGGUUUAAAGGGUUCGUAGGCGGUUUUUUAAGUCAGAGGUGAAAUCCUGCAGCUCAACUGUAGCAUUGCCUUUGAUACUGAAAGACUUGAGUUAUUGUGAAGUAGUUAGAAUGUGUAGUGUAGCGGUGAAAUGCAUAGAUAUUACACAGAAUACCGAUUGCGAAAGCAGAUUACUAAUAAUAUACUGACGCUCAGGGACGAAAGCGUGGGUAGCGAACAGGAUUAGAUACCCGAGUAGUC
RNAcentral lists this ribosomal RNA (458 nucleotides) under uncultured bacterium. RNAcentral's name for it is "partial 16S ribosomal RNA". It matches the Rfam family "Bacterial small subunit ribosomal RNA", at positions 339 to 795 of the family's 1533-position model. The record is from RNAcentral.